AGGACGAACGCUGGCGGCGUGCUUAACACAUGCAAGUCGAGCGGUAAGGCCUUUCGGGGUACACGAGCGGCGAACGGGUGAGUAACACGUGGGUGAUCUGCCCUGCACUUCGGGAUAAGCCUGGGAAACUGGGUCUAAUACCGGAUAUGACCUCCUAUCGCAUGGUGGGUGGUGGAAAAGAUUUAUCGGUGCGAGGGUGGGCCCGCGGCCUAUCAGCUUGUUGGUGGGUAAUGGCCUACCAAGGCGA
This 247-nucleotide ribosomal RNA is filed under the name uncultured soil bacterium. RNAcentral's name for it is "partial 16S ribosomal RNA". It matches the Rfam family "Bacterial small subunit ribosomal RNA", at positions 26 to 276 of the family's 1533-position model. The record is from RNAcentral.